RNAcentral lists this long non-coding RNA (2786 nucleotides) under Pelobates cultripes (western spadefoot toad). The record is from RNAcentral. Lineage: Eukaryota; Metazoa; Chordata; Amphibia; Anura; Pelobatidae.
CUCCAAUAGAUACAGACACACACACUGUUGCAGACGCGCGUGCACACACACCUAGAAAUAUUUUUAGCUACCCUCCUGUUUCCUACCUUGGGCGCAGGAGGGUGGCUUCCCUGGGAUCCAGUGGGUGUGAGUGGCAGCAGGUGACAGUAGGGCUUGCUGCAGCUGAUGGGAGUUGGCUGCCACUGGUCCAGACGCCUCCUGUCGCCAUCUCUGUGCACCAGAAGGAAGUAAAGGGAACUGUGAUUACUCCCUCCAAGAGCUGAGGCCUGGCAUGCAGCAAGCAGAGUCAUCUUUACCUGGUGCCCUGCCCAUCAGCCAUUCCCCUAUGCGGGUGGAAGUAAUAACAAUUCCGUUCACUUCCUCCCGGUAUACCGUCGCAGAAAGGAGGAGACCACCAAUCCCCAGCGCCAGGUCAAAAAUCCCAUUGUUUUCACAUGGACAGAAUCAGAAUAUGGAGCCACUGUGGAUAUGGGAAUUCUAAAGUAGAGCAGGUCUUGCAGAAUAUGGUUUUGUUUCUAUUAAAGGAACACUAUAGCUCUGGUGCCCCUCUUCCCCCCCCCCCCCAUGUCUCCCAUAAAGAGUGUCAAAAUAAAGCCUUUUCCGCCUCACUUCCCAAAUCAUCCUCAAGAAAGCUUUGCUGCUUCCAUUGCAGGUUCAAUCCAUUACUCCUCAGAGUAUUAGGGACCUGAUGUACCAGCAUGAGCGCAGCACACGCCCAAUUCUCAUAGGAACGCAGUGAGGUUAAUUCCUUCUUAUGAGUUGCAAUGUCACAUGACCAGAUUUGACUUGGUCCGUGCAGUGGAGGCGCCUCUGGCUUUAAUACAUUGUAGUUAAAGGAACACUUUAGUGUUUGGAUUACAAGGAUGUCUUCAAUGUAUUGUUUACAAAGAUGAAUUCAUAACACUGUAGUAUUCCUCUGCCUUCGUGCCCUCCCAGUGUUAAAAACAAAAGACCUUUCUUUCACUUUCCUGACUCCAGCGCCGAUAUCCCUCGGCGUUGGAUCACGUUCUUCCUCCGUUGUUGUCAGCUGAUGGGAGGAACCUAAUGUAAUGAAACUGCAAGAAGCGCCUCCAGUAACUGUCUGAUAGAAAGACACUAAAGACAGUUUCUCUAAAUGUUUUAAAUUACAGGGUUAACCCCUUUGCGCAUUAUGGCGUUCUAUGCCGUCUCCAAUGUAAUGGGCUUUAAAGCUGUAGCGACGGCAUAGAACGUCAUAACCGCUUUCAGCUCUGGAGUGUCUGGGAUAAUUACGCCCAGGCAGGCCCCUGCUAGUCAUGUGAUCGCUCUCACAAAGCAAUCACCUGAUGCUGAAAAAAUAAGUCCUAGAAAGAUAUAUAUAUGAAAAGACAGUCAAAUUCUAGGUUUUUAUUUGAUACGUACACAAUUGCCGCCGUCCUUAAGAGGUUAAGGAAACAGGGACACUGCAGCCAGACCACUUCAAUGAGAUGAAGUGGUCUGGGUGCCUAUAGUGUCCCUUUUACUAUGAAACUGCAAUGUUUUAAGUCGUAGGGUUAAAGUGACAGGACCAAUGCACCCAGACCACUUCAUUGACCUGGUCCUUUAAAGAAUGUUCUUUGUGUGUCUCUCUGACCAUUGUUGGUUUCGGGGUAUAACAUUCUGUAACUCACCCACAUUCUGAUGCAGAUUCUUUGCUUUACUGCAGCGGAUAUCUACGACAAGGUGGCGGGCGAAAUCGAGAAGAAUAAUGUGUACGACUGUGAAUGUCUUGGAGGAGGGAGAAUCAGUCAUUCGAGCAAGGACAAGAAAAUCCACAUCUACGGAUACUCUCUGGUGAAUAGCCAACUCGUCUUAAAUAUAAAUGGCUUUAUAUUCAAUAACUCACUGAGAUAGUAUCACAAGAAAUGUAUAACGGGCUUCACCUUUGUGCAUUUUGCUGCAGUGUGAAGCUCUGUAUUCUAGUGAAAGCAGUGAGCUGGGAGAAAGAAUGUGAAUUAAAACUGUAUUCUUAUUUAUUUAAAUUUUUUGGGUUUAGUAUUUUUUUGUAGAAUUCCCUUUGUGGUCAAUGACGGCAUCUAGAUAUUUGUAAACCUCUUCAACUUAAAGUUCACAUGUCCAUAAAUCACAUUCCAGUCACUAUAGAUUUAAUCUGUAUAUUGUCAGAAUAUGUAUGGAUUAAAGGGUGGUGCCAAGCACCAUAACAACUUUAGUUAUUUGAAGUGGUCAUGGUGCCUGAAGUCUGUAUGUACAGGGUUUUGUGGUAAAGUUUGCAGGUAGACUUUUGAGUCCCUUGCUGUUUAGUAAAUAGACCCCAUUCAGUAAAAACAAUUUAUAGAUCUACUUUAUUUGUACUAUAACAUGGGACUGUUCUGUUAAGACAAAAUCUCAUUUAAGGGCAUUGCAUUCUUGUCUUGCAGAGUUACGGACCAGCAGAUCACGCUUUGACUCAGAAAAAAAUCCAAGCCAAAUAUACGGAUUAUACAGUGACCUGGUCAGUUGUUUGAUAUUAAAUGUGCCAAACCACGAAAGCCGAUCUCUCAUUCAGAGGAACAAAAUUCACCUGGUGGCAAAUAUAACACAGGUCCUGUAUAUACAUCUUCUGGCCACAAGGGGCAGUGUGAUGUUAUAUAGACCGUAUCUUGGUAUGCAGGGAGUGUGAGCUGAUGGGUAUUGUGCCGUAGACUCAGAAUUAAGGUUUUCAUUUUGCUUUUGCCUUAUGUGAGACAUUUGAUUGAGGCUACUUAUACUGCCGUUAAUGGUGCUUCAGAGGCGCCCUGCUUCAGCAUUAAAUCACGUUUCCCAUGAUGCUUGUGGACUGCACUCACUUA